This 1713-nucleotide long non-coding RNA is filed under the name Parus major (Great Tit). RNAcentral describes it as "lncRNA (ENSPMJG00000006818.1)". The record is from RNAcentral. Lineage: Eukaryota; Metazoa; Chordata; Aves; Passeriformes; Paridae.
AUGGAAGGGACCAUAAAUCCCAUCCAUUCCCAUCUCUCGGGGUCCCAGGCUGCACCCAGGGAUGGAAGGGGCUCCCUCAGACCCUUCCCACUGGGAAUAAACCCCACAGGCCUGGGCAGCAGGAAUGCAAAUCCCCUUUUUGCCCUUCCCUGGAUGUUCUGGCAGCUCUUGGUGCGUCCCUGGCCCUUCCCUGGGGACAGGAGGAGUUUCCUGACAUUUCCCCCCAGUCCAAGCCCUGCCUCGGGGAGGGAAAAAGGAGCAAAUCCCAAACCCCAGGGAACAGGAUCUUCCCUCUCCCAAAGGGCCUCGGGGAAGAAAAAGCAGCAGAGGAUGGGAAUUCCUGGAAUCCCACCCUGGAUCCUUAAUAAACCUCCUGAGGGUUCAUUCCCGGCUGGAUCCAGGCAGGAACAGCCCAAAGGUUUUUUUGGGAGGGGUCAGGAACGCAGAGAGCUGCUCUGGGAAUCCCUCCCGGGGAUCCCAUGGGAUGGGAGAGGAGCUGCCCCGAAUUUGGGGAAUUCUCCUUUCCUGGGAGCCAGGACAGGGCUGGGGCAAAUCCCAGGGGGAGGGAGGGAGGAAAUCCCAGGGGGAAGGAAAGGAGGAAAUCCCAGGGGAAAGGAAGGGAGGAAAUCCCAGGGAAAGGGAGGGAGGAAAUCCCAGGGAAAGGGAGGGAGGAAAUCCCAGGGGGAAGGAAAGGAGGAAAUCCCAGGGGGAAAGGAAGGGAGGAAAUCCCAGGGGAAGGGAGGAAGGAAAUCCCAGGGGAAGGGAGGAAGGAAAUCCCAGAGGGGAGGAAAGGAGGAAAUCCCAGGGGGAAAGGGAGGAAAUCCCAGGGGGAAAGGAAAGGAGGAAAUCCCAGGGGAAGGGAGGAAAUCCCAGGGAAAGGAAAGGAGGAAAUCCCAGGGGGAAAGGAAGGGAGGAAAUCCCAGGGGGAAAGGAAGGGAGGAAAUCCCAGGGGGAAAGGAGGAAAUGCCAGGGGGAAGGAAAGGAGGAAAUCCCAGGGGGAAAGGAGGAAGGAAAUCCCAGGGGAAGGAAAGGAGGAAAUCCCAGAGGGAAAGGAGGAAAUCCCAGGGGGAAAGGAAGGGAGGAAAUCCCAGGGGGAAAGGAAGGGAGGAAAUCCCAGGGGAAAGGGAGGGAGGAAAUCCCAGGGGGAAAGGAGGAAAUCCCAGGGGAAAGGGAGGGAGGAAAUCCCAGGGGAAAGGAGGAAGGAAAUCCCAGGGGAAAGGGAGGGAGGAAAUCCCAGGGGGAAAGGAAAGGAGGAAAUCCCAGGGGGAAAGGGAGGGAGGAAAUCCCAGGGGGAAAGGAGGAAGGAAAUCCCAGGGGGAAAGGAAAGGAGGAAAUCCCAGGGGGAAAGGGAGGGAGGAAAUCCCAGGGGGAAAGGGAGGGAGGAAAUCCCAGGGGAAAGGAGGAAGGAAAUCCCAGGGGGAAAGGGAGGAAGGAAAUCCCAGGGGAAAGGAGGAAGGAAAUCCCAGGGGCUGCUCCCACCCUCUGGAAAAGGCCACAGGCACAGGGGGUGUCUCCAACCAGGAUUUAAUCCCGGGAUCUUUCCUCUCCUCCCUGCAGAGCAGAGCUGGGUCCCCCCCCAGCAGCCAAAUCCCCACAGAAAGUCCUGGAGAAGCGGGAAUUGUCCUGUUUUCUUUAAUAAAGAUAGGAAGGAUUUGUGUUUUCCUGUUAAGGCAAGGAUCUGCUGCUGCUGCUCGGCUCCAGGGGCAGCUCUGA